GAUUCCGCUAGUAGUGGCGAGCGAACGCGGAAGAGGCCAAACCGGAGGUAGCAAUAUUUCCGGGGUUAGGACUGCAAUAUGUAACUUUAAUCUUUAACUGAAUGCUUUGGGAAGAGCAGCGAUACAGGGUGAUAGCCCCGUAAGUGAAAAGGAUUGAGUGCUAGCAGUAUCCAGAGUACCAGCGGACACGUGAAACCCGCUGGGAAGAUGGGGGGACCAUCCUCCAAGCCUAAAUACUACUCAGUGACCGAUAGUGGAGCAGUACCGUGAGGGAAAGGUGAAAAGUACCCCGGGAGGGGAGUGAAAAAGAACCUGAAACCUUGUGCCUACAAGCACCGAGAGUCCGUUAAAGGAUGAUCGGGUACUUUUUGUAGAACGGUCCGGCGAGUUAAUAUUUGCAGCGAGGUUAAGGAACUGGAGUUCCGGAGCCGCAGCGAGAGCGAGUCUGAAAAGGGCGUAUGAAGUUGCAGGUAUUAGACCCGAAACCGGGUGACCUAUCCAUGAGCAGGCUGAAGCGGUGGUAAGACACCGUGGAGGGCCGCACCCACGUCUGUUGAAAAAGCCGGGGAUGACUUGUGGAUAGCGGAGAAAUUCCAAUCGAACUCGGAGAUAGCUGGUUCUCCCCGAAAUAGCUUUAGGGCUAGCGUUAUUUUAGAUUACCGGAGGUAAAGCACUGAAUGGUCUAGGGGCCGCGAGGUUACCAAAGCCUAUCAAACUCUGAAUGCCGGAUAAUUGAUGAAUAGCAGUCAGACUGUGUGAGAUAAGUCUCAUAGUCAAAAGGGAAACAGCCCAGAUCUACAGCUAAGGUCCCAAAUGAACACUAAGUGGAAAAUGAUGUGAAACUGCGAAGACAACCAGGAUGUUGGCUUAGAAGCAGCCACUCAUUCAAAGAGUGCGUAAUAGCUCACUGGUCGAGUGGUUUUGCGCAGAAAAUGUAACGGGGCUAAGUGUUCAACCGAAGCUUAGGCAUUGCAGUAAUGCAUUGGGUAGGGGAGCGUCGUAUGCGGGGCGAAGUCAGAGCGGAAGCACUGGUGGACUGCAUACGAGUGAGAAUGCCGGAAUAAGUAGCGAGAAUUAUGUGAGAAUCAUAAUGGCCGAAAAUCUAAGGUUUCUUGGGGAAGGUUCGUCCGCCCAAGGUUAGUCGGGAGCUAAGCUCAGGCCGAAAGGCGUAGGCGAUGCACAUACGGUAGAAAUUCCGUAACCACCGAACAUUUAAGCUAGAGGGACGCUUUCAUUAAGUCUAUCCCGGGCGAUGGUUGCCCCGGGCGUAAGGGACCGAAAUUUAGUAGGGAAGUAGACGGCGUGAGAGACGAGAAAAGCUCUAGUGUAUACUAAGGUGCCCGUACCGCAAACCGACACAGGUAGAUGGGAUGAGUAUUCUAAGGCCAACGGGAGAAGGGUUGUUAAGGAACUCGGCAAAUUGGCCCCGUAACUUCGGGAUAAGGGGCGCCUGCGAGAGCAGGCCGCAGUGAAAAGGCCCAAGCGACUGUUUAGCAAAAACACAGCUCUCUGCUAAAUCGAAAGAUGACGUAUAGGGGGUGACGCCUGCCCGGUGCUGGAAGGUUAAGGGGAGUGCUUAGCGCAAGCGAAGGUGCGAACUUAAGCCCCAGUAAACGGCGGCCGUAACUAUAACGGUCCUAAGGUAGCGAAAUUCCUUGUCAGGUAAGUUCUGACCCGCACGAAUGGCGUAACGAUUUGGGCACUGUCUCAACAGCCCGCCCGGCGAAAUUGUAGUACCGGUGAAGAUGCCGGUUUCCCGCAACUAGACGGAAAGACCCCAUGGAGCUUCACUGUAGCUUGAUAUUGGAUCUCGGUAUUCCAUGUACAGGAUAGGUGGGAGGCUAGGAAGUAAGCGCGCCAGCGUUUAUGGAGCCAACCUUGGGAUACCACUCUUGGGAUAUUGGGAUUCUAACCUGCGACCAUGAAUCUGGUCGGGGGACACUGUCAGGUGGGCAGUUUGACUGGGGCGGUCGCCUCCAAAAGAG
RNAcentral lists this ribosomal RNA (1985 nucleotides) under human gut metagenome. RNAcentral describes it as "bacterial LSU rRNA". It matches the Rfam family "Bacterial large subunit ribosomal RNA", at positions 233 to 2297 of the family's 2925-position model. The record is from RNAcentral.